Molecule: ribosomal RNA, 523 nt
Filed under: uncultured bacterium
Lineage: Bacteria
Description: bacterial SSU rRNA
Rfam family: Bacterial small subunit ribosomal RNA
Source: RNAcentral
UGGCUCAGGACGAACGGCUGGCGGCGUGCUUAACACAUGCAAGUCGAACGGAGGAGUUAUUUCGGUAAAUCCUUAGUGGCGAACGGGUGAGUAACGCGUGGGCAAUCUGCCCUUCAGAUGGGGACAACAUCCCGAAAGGGGUGCUAAUACCGAAUACGAUCGUAUUCCCGCAUGGGAUUGUGAUGAAAGAUGGCCUCUAUUUAUAAGCUAUCGCUGAAGGAUGAGCCUGCGUCUGAUUAGCUAGUUGGUGGGGUAACGGCCUACCAAGGCGAUGAUCAGUAGCCGGUCUGAGAGGAUGAACGGCCACAUUGGGACUGAGACACGGCCCAAACUCCUACGGGAGGCAGCAGUGGGGAAUAUUCCGCAAUGGACGAAAGUCUGACGGAGCAACGCCGCGUGAGUGAAUGAAGGUUUUCGGACUGUAAAGCUCUGUUGUUUAGGACGAAAGUGCCUGUUGCGAACAGUUACAGGUAUUGACGGUACUGAACGAGGAAGCCACGGCUAACUACGUGCCAGCCGCAGC